This is a long non-coding RNA of Canis lupus familiaris (dog), 972 nucleotides long. RefSeq lists it as uncharacterized. The record is from RefSeq and is a predicted model, not a curated record. The transcript is spliced from 3 exons. NCBI's taxonomy places the organism in Eukaryota, Metazoa, Chordata, Mammalia, Carnivora, Canidae.
GGCGCGGCCGGGCGGCGCGGCGGGCGCGGCGGGUGCCCUCCGGGAGGGACCCGGCUUAGGUGAGGAAGGUGGGAAGCUCUUCCAAGCAGGUGAAGGGUUGCACUUACAACGUGAUCCAGAAGCCAUCGAGAUAAGGCGGGGCUCCAGCCACUGGAGGAUGAGGAUCCUGGGGAUCGAUGAGGACACUAGGAGAAGGCGACAGCAGGGCCAGGGCAGGGGUGGCCUUUGACAGUGGAGACCAGCAGUUUACCCAGGACAGGUGUCUGGUGACGGUUUCCGAAAAGCAGACAGACCAAAGGAAAGCUUUCCUCUUGUGUCUCCCUUCGUCGCCACUAACACGCAGUUGCUGCAAGCCUGGCGUGAAGAGUGGACACCCAGUCUGGCCUUGCCUUCAUUGUGGCACUAUGCUGAACCCUCUGCAGAUGUACCGAUCCCUGCAGGAGCUCUGCUGGGCACAUGUUGCCAUCCCUGUUUUAAAGAUGAAGAAGCCUGGGCUUCAUGGAAGCUGAGUUAGGGAUUGACAUCUUGGAUGCUUUCAAUUGAUGAAAAUGGUUUUAGGGGCCCAGGAGCAAGAUAUCAGGAACUGGUGGGGGGAUGGUGUCAGCUGGAUGGCAUCUGCUGGGGGGCAGUGAGUCUCCGCUCCUGCUGAUUGUGGACCUGUGGGACUGUGGCCCAGUGCAACUUCAUCUGUUUUCUUUCUUUCUUUUUUUUUUUUUUUCAUCUAUUUUCUAGAAGCAGCCGGAAAUGUGACAUUUUGUAGAAAGAUCAUGCUUUGUAAAUGUUGGCAAAGAAUUGUGUAAGGUGUUCAAAACAUGCAAUCAAGCAGGCUCAGUUGGUGAAAAAUCUGCCAUCGGCUCAGGUCAUAAUCUAGGGGUCCUGGAAUAGAGGCUUGCAUUGGGCUCCCUGCUCAGCUCUCUCUGUGUCUUUCAGAUAAAUAAAUAAAACCUUUUUUUAAAAAAAAGACAUUGUUUA